Long non-coding RNA from Phodopus roborovskii (desert hamster), 923 nucleotides. RefSeq lists it as uncharacterized. NCBI's taxonomy places the organism in Eukaryota, Metazoa, Chordata, Mammalia, Rodentia, Cricetidae. The record is from RefSeq and is a predicted model, not a curated record. The transcript has 2 exons.
GGAUACAAUGAACUAUGUCACUAAUGAGAAAUUGGCCUCAUUGCUUUCUAUUGCUUCAUACUCUGAUAAUUUGAAAUAACUCUGUAAAUGAAGUAGAAAGAGAAUGAACUAAUGAAUACAUAAAUAGAAUUCAGUGCAAUUUUGUGGAAGUAUAGAGGCCUUAUCUCAUUUUUAAAGAUGAACUUUUAUCUCAAGCUCCAGUUCUCCCUUUAUUAGAGAUCUUCAAAUGAGUAUGACUUAGAAAUCCCAUUGUUUGCUUUUCUCUCUGAUUUAGGGGAAUUGUGUCAAUUUGACCGAAGCCCUGUCGCUCUAUGAAGAACAGCUGGGGCGCCUGUAUUGUCCUGUGGAAUUCUCAAAAGAGAUUGUCUGUGUCCCUUCAUACUUGGAAUUGUGGGUAUUUUACACUGUUUGGAAGAAAGCUAAGCCUUAAAGAUGAGAAUCCCCUGAAUGUUGUUUCCUGCAAGCCACCUUCCUGACUUCCAUAAACCCUAUAUGCCAUCAAUUGAGUCAGGCAACUGGUCAUGAAUUCCUUCAAGUGUUUUUAUUUUGUUUGUAAUUGUUACUUUUAAUUUAAAAAAGCCAAUGGGAAAAAUGUAUAUUUUGAUGAGCUAGGGUGUUAAUUUUUGAAAGUCAGCUGAAGGACAAUUAGACAGCCCAGCAAAGACUGCGGAAUGCACUGACCCCCUAGAAUGUGAUUUUAGUAUCUUUGUUUUCUCUGUGUGGGGUUUGGGUUUUUAGUCUUGGUUUCAGUAGACUUUAAUUUGGACAUGUGGAGGAAUGAACAUCAUUGUUUUGGAGAGAAGUUCCUGAUAGUGUUUCUCCUCCCCACCCCCAAAUUGAUAAAUUGAUUUAGAUAUUAAAAUUUGGUGCUUUUAAAAAAGACUUAAGUGAUUAGCAGUGCUUCAAUUAAAAUUACAAAGAGA